Molecule: ribosomal RNA, 252 nt
Filed under: uncultured bacterium
Lineage: Bacteria
Description: partial 16S ribosomal RNA
Rfam family: Bacterial small subunit ribosomal RNA
Source: RNAcentral
UACGGAGGAUGCGAGCGUUAUCCGGAUUUAUUGGGUUUAAAGGGUGCGCAGGCGGUCUGUUAAGUCAGAGGUCAAAGCCCGGGGCUCAACCCCGGCCCGCCGUUGAAACUGGCAGUCUCGAGUUGGAGAGAAGUAUGCGGAAUGCGCGGUGUAGCGGUGAAAUGCAUAGAUAUCGCGCAGAACUCCGAUUGCGAAGGCAGCAUGCCGGCUCCACACUGACGCUGAGGCACGAAAGCGUGGGUAUCGAACAGG